UGCUUGAUCCUUCGGAGAUUUUCUCCUUCUCUGUAAAAUGGGGCGAAGAGUUUCUUCUCGAGCUGCUUCAGUGGGCUGACCUCAGAAACAAGUGAGGACCCGCAAACAAAGAAUGGUUUUUAUGUUUUUAAAUGGUUGAGAAGAAGAUUGUAUGAUGUGAAAAUUGUACACGAUUCAAAUUUCAGUGUCCAUACAGAUGAACAUAAGCACUGUAUUGACUACAAAAGUGAGAAACAGAAGAGCUGUGUGAGACAGAAUGGAUGUCAGCAUACUGGUGGUUCAUCCUUGUGAUCGCAUAGAUGACUGGGAGCCGCCACCACUCAGCAUCAUGACACAUGAUAAGAAAGCGGGUUUGGAGACUCAUCACACUUGGUACAAAUGGUAAACAACCUGGGUCUGCCCAACGGAAAAGGCCAAGUCUCCCAUGCGUACCAGCCCAUUAUUUUCAUCUCCUUACGCUAUCAGAGGGCAGAGACUACAAGUUUCACUCUACAAAUCUUCAUAACACUUCUCAGCCAUAAUUGAAGUGAAUAUCCAAA
Long non-coding RNA from Suricata suricatta (meerkat), 539 nucleotides. RefSeq lists it as uncharacterized. Lineage: Eukaryota; Metazoa; Chordata; Mammalia; Carnivora; Herpestidae. The transcript is spliced from 4 exons. The record is from RefSeq and is a predicted model, not a curated record.